CAAGAAAAGACACUAGAUGCUCAGAGCAAAGUGAAGAAAUUAGAAGCUCGCUGACCACAAACACCCUAAUCCAAUUACCUAAGAGGAUACAAUUAGUUAUCACAAACAAAACAUUUUAAGGUUCAGGUGCUACCAAAUAAUCAUUCUUCUGUCAAAAACAAUAACCCUGGUUGUGUAAAAUUCAUAAAGACACACGAGCGGACAUGGUAGAAAACAGUCUAAAGUAUACAAAAGGGAUAUGGGGGAGAUAUGCAAGCAUCAAGGCACACGCCAUAAUUUGGUGGGAUAAAGGAGAGGACUCCUUGUGGGAGUUGGUUUAAGUUUCUGAUGUUGUUUAGUUCCAACAGAGCUGCAUCAAAGUUGUCCAGGGCAAUUCUAUAAUUUUACUGAAUUGCUGGAAUUUUGAUAGGAGUCUGUUGUUUUAUUUUUCCUGUUCAGAUACUUUAUUUAGUCCUUAAAAAAGUGGACUUGUUUAUGUUUCUUAUAUUGGAAUCCUUAUGUUUUCCUACAUAGGAAUCCAAGUCCCGUCAGGAUUAGGAGUCAUUCGAGCAUUAUAAAUAUGCUUGUAGUAUUUUGAUUUCUAGUAGAGAAUUUUUCUAUUGAAUAAAUUGCAGCUUUUGCUAGGCUAUGUGAGAGUGAGGCUUCCAAUCUAGAAGUGAAUCCUAAACCUUUUAGUGUGAGGGUAGAAGUUUUAUUCUCUGUUCUGUUUUUCUAUUCCUAAAGCCCUAAAACUUCAUAUUAUGCAACCUAACCUAAUAAACAUCCAGCUACGAACAUUCCCCUAUAUUUGUCCUGCAACAGGAAAAGCACUCAAUAUGAAAUGUUAGCUAUAAUUAUUUAGCAUGGCAGAAGAUUAGCAGAAGCAGGUAAAACUGCAAUGCCAACUUUCGACAUUCUCCCUGUAUGCAGCACCUUUGGGUUUAGGGGCAAGGUGAGGACUCCAUAUGUAUCCAUAUGGCACGUCAGAAUCAGAUCCCUGUGAACCACUGAGAUAAGUGACAGGUCGUAGCUUCAACUUUUUUUUCCUUAAAUCAUUUAUCAUGUCCCGUAUUCCCAGCCAAAUCAUCGAAUCGACUAUUUGAUAUGAAAGCUACAGAAAUUGCACGUGGCCAAAAGUAAGUCAGAAAUAACCAGAUAUUUUAAAGAAAUCGAUGCAACAAGGAGAGCUAAAAGGGAAAAAAAUCCAGUGGGCUUACUCGAUAUCCAGCUGAUUGCUUGACACGCGACAAGGGAUGAGGAAAUUCACUAGUUGGCCUGGCAAGAAAUGAUAAAAAAAAAAAUUGCUUAAAACAGUUGAGGAUUUACCCAUUGAAGAGAAUUAUAUAUGUCAACAUUGACACAGUAAGAAUGUUGAAGCUACAUCCUACUAAUCAAGAUUCCAUUACCCAGGGAAGACUUACGUCCAUGGCAUGGUGAAGAAUAUAUGAAGUGGUACUUUUAGGGCCUCUGCCACAUGAGUAUGCCCUAAAGAAAACAUUACAAGGGUAAGUUGAAGAAUAUUGAACAUGAAAAUAUAAAUACAGGUUGAAUGUAUCUAUGUAAGAAACAAACAGAGAUGUUCCAUGCAAAAGAAAAAUACACAUGCCACAUCUGCAUAAUUUGGUAAGAGCAGACACACACAAGAGAGAGAAAUGUAGAGGUGGAAGAGAAAAUGAUGCAAAACAGCAAAGAACAGCAAUAUAAUGGCCAAAACUUGAAGAAAACUGAGAGAGAGAGAGAGAGAGAGAGAGAGAGAGAGAGAGAGAGGAUGCACAUCCAAGGAAUUUACAAAAUAUUACCACAGGAGGAACAAGAGCAAGAGGAUUGCCCUUUCCUAAAACAAAAUUGAGUGAACAUAGAAAUAUA
RNAcentral lists this long non-coding RNA (1845 nucleotides) under Populus trichocarpa (black cottonwood). RNAcentral describes it as "long non-coding RNA (PTRI_LNC003364)". The record is from RNAcentral. Lineage: Eukaryota; Viridiplantae; Streptophyta; Magnoliopsida; Malpighiales; Salicaceae.